RNAcentral lists this transfer RNA (57 nucleotides) under Blomia tropicalis. Its description in RNAcentral is "tRNA-Gly". The record is from RNAcentral. Lineage: Eukaryota; Metazoa; Arthropoda; Arachnida; Sarcoptiformes; Echimyopodidae.
AGUUUUUUAGUAUAAAUAGAGUACAUCUAAUUUCCAAUUAGGGGGUUUUGAGAACUA